Molecule: transfer RNA, 361 nt
Filed under: uncultured Microcystis sp.
Lineage: Bacteria; Bacillati; Cyanobacteriota; Cyanophyceae; Chroococcales; Microcystaceae
Description: partial 16S-23S ribosomal RNA intergenic spacer
Rfam family: tRNA (bases 136-209)
Source: RNAcentral
AAAGGGAGACCUAAUUCAGGUAGGAGACGAAAAAAAAGUAGUCGCUACCAAGAAUCAAUCCCAAAAGGUCGGAGCGAGGCGAAAUUGGCUUUCAAACUAGGUUCUGGGUUCAAACAAGACCUGAAUCAGGAACAAGGGCUAUUAGCUCAGGUGGUUAGAGCGCACCCCUGAUAAGGGUGAGGUCCCUGGUUCGAGUCCAGGAUGGCCCACCUGCACAGGUGGCAAAAACAAGAGAAGCGAGGAAUCAGCACCUUAUCUUACUUAUAUAGUAAGAGAGAAUGCUGGCUCUGAGUACAGAGUCCAGAGGAACCUUGAAAACUGCAUAGAGCUAGGUGAAAAAGCCAAAAAAGAAGACCGCAAG